RNAcentral lists this ribosomal RNA (254 nucleotides) under uncultured bacterium. Its description in RNAcentral is "partial 16S ribosomal RNA". It matches the Rfam family "Bacterial small subunit ribosomal RNA", at positions 524 to 776 of the family's 1533-position model. The record is from RNAcentral.
UACGUAGGGUGCAAGCGUUUGUCCGGAAUUAUUGGGCGUAAAGAGCUCGUAGGCGGUUUGUCGCGUCUGCUGUGAAAACUCGGGGCUUAACCCCGGGCCUGCAGUGGGUACGGGCAGACUAGAGUGCGGUAGGGGAGACUGGAAUUCCUGGUGUAGCGGUGAAAUGCGCAGAUAUCAGGAGGAACACCAAUGGCGAAGGCAGAUCUCUGGGCCGUAACUGACGCUGAGGAGCGAAAGCAUGGGGAGCGAACAGG